RNAcentral lists this ribosomal RNA (492 nucleotides) under uncultured bacterium. RNAcentral's name for it is "partial 16S ribosomal RNA". It matches the Rfam family "Bacterial small subunit ribosomal RNA", at positions 29 to 507 of the family's 1533-position model. The record is from RNAcentral.
AGUGAACGCUGGCGGUAGGCCUAACACAUGCAAGUCGAACGGCAGCACAGUAAGAGCUUGCUCUUACGGGUGGCGAGUGGCGGACGGGUGGGGAAUACAUCGGAAUCUACUUUUUCGUGGGGGAUAACGUAGGGAAACUUACGCUAAUACCGCAUACGACCUACGGGUGAAAGCAGGGGAUCUUCGGACCUUGCGCGAUUGAAUGAGCCGAUGUCGGAUUAGCUAGUUGGCGGGGUAAAGGCCCACCAAGGCGACGAUCCGUAGCUGGUCUGAGAGGAUGAUCAGCCACACUGGAACUGAGACACGGUCCAGACUCCUACGGGAGGCAGCAGUGGGGAAUAUUAGACAAUGGGCGCAAGCCUGAUCCAGCCAUACCGCGUGGGUGAAGAAGGCCUUCGGGUUGUAAAGCCCUUUUGUUGGGAAAGAAAAGCAGCAGGUUAAUACCCCGCUGUUCUGACGGUACCCAAAGAAUAAGCACCGGCUAACUUCGUG